GCCAGAAAGCUAGCUCUAACAUAAUAGUUAAACCCAUAAUUUCCAUCACUACUCAUAAACCAAAACACCCAACAACUAAAUCAUUCAACCACCCCAGUACGGGCGACAGAAAAGGACCCAAAGAAGCUAUAGAUAAAGUACCGCAAGGGAAAGCUGAAAAAGAAAUGAAAAAACCCAUAAAAGCAUAAAAAAGCAGAGAAUACCACUUGUACCUUUUGCAUCAUGGUUCAGCCAGUAAAAGUAUGCAAAGAGAUCUCUAGUAUACACCCCCGAAACCCAACGAGCUACUCCAGGACAGCCCAUCCAGGGCCAACCCGUCUCUGUCGCAAAAGAGUGGGAAGAUCUUCGAGUAGAGGCAAAAAACCUACCGAGUCGGGUUAUAGCUGGUUGCCCAGAAAAUGAAUAAUAGUUCAGCCCCGCACAGCCCAAUUCACACUAGUAACACUACAAAAGAUGAAGAGCCACUAACGGGAGUUAAUCAGAAGAGGUACAGCUCCUCUGAUAAAGGACACAACCUUGACAGAAGAUUAAAGAAUAAAAUUAAACAAGGCCACAAGUCUCAGUGGGCCUGAAAGCAGCCACCUGAACAGAAAGCGUUAAAGCUCAGACCAAAAACUAUGCCUUUCAUCAGAUUAAAUAAUCCAAAAUCCCUUUAACCACUGGGCCCCCCCCAUGCACUCAUGGGAGAGAUCAUGCUGAAACGAGUAACAAGAAGAUUGAACUUCUCCAAGCACAAGUGUAAGUCGAACCGGACCCCCCAUCGACAAUUAACGAACCCAAAAACAGAGGGUACUACACCACCACCACCCCAAGUCAAGAAAAUCAUGUUAUAUAAAUCGUUUAUCCUACACAGGAGUGCCAAACCAAGGAAAGACUAAAAGAAAAAAAAGGAACUCGGCAAACCUAAACCCCGCCUGUUUACCAAAAACAUCGCCUCUUGCCACUAUAAGUAUAAGAGGUCCCACCUGCCCUGUGACUAAAAGUUUAACGGCCGCGGUAUCCUAACCGUGCGAAGGUAGCGCAAUCAAUUGCCUUUUAAAUGAAGGCCUGUAUGAAUGGUAUAACGAGGGUUUGACUGUCUCUUUUUUCCAGUCAGUUAAACUGAUCUGUUCGUGCAGAAGCGGACAUAAUUAUACAAGACGAGAAGACCCUAUGGAGCUUUAGACACUAACCAACCAUGAGAAACGACCCAAGACAAUAUCACCCUAAACCCCCAUGGACCUGGAAUAAAAGUCUUAGGUUGGGGCGACCACGGGAGAAAAAAAAGCUCCCGAGCAGACCAGGGAAACCCUGAAGCCAAGAGUUACAACUCUAAGCCACAAAAAUUUUGACUGAAAUGAUCCGGCCACGGCCGAUUAACGAACCAAGUUACCCUAGGGAUAACAGCGCAAUCCCCUCCCAGAGUUCAUAUCGACAAGGGGGUUUACGACCUCGAUGUUGGAUCAGGACAUCCUAAUGGUGCAGCCGCUAUUAAGGGUUCGUUUGUUCAACGAUUAAAGUCCUACGUGAUCUGAGUUCAGACCGGAGUAAUCCAGGUCGGUUUCUAUCUGUAAGACAACCACUCCUAGUACGAAAGGACCGGAGUGGAAAGGCCUAUGCCAAAAGCAAGCCUUCCAUUCACCUGCUGAAGACAAAUAAAACAGACAAAAAUGGGUUACACAAGGCCUAAGAAAAAGGCCACACAAUUCGC
Molecule: ribosomal RNA, 1690 nt
Filed under: Thryssa hamiltonii (Hamilton's thryssa)
Lineage: Eukaryota; Metazoa; Chordata; Actinopteri; Clupeiformes; Engraulidae
Description: 16S ribosomal RNA
Rfam family: Bacterial large subunit ribosomal RNA
Source: RNAcentral